RNAcentral lists this long non-coding RNA (1708 nucleotides) under Taeniopygia guttata (zebra finch). Its description in RNAcentral is "lncRNA (ENSTGUG00000023879.1)". Lineage: Eukaryota; Metazoa; Chordata; Aves; Passeriformes; Estrildidae. The record is from RNAcentral.
UUCUUCUGCCAUCAUUUAAUAACACAGUUUUCUCUCAACAUAAAACACAUGCUGCAUAUUUAAAUAUGAAACACUGAUCAAAUAAAUACACCUGGAAAAAUGAAAUGGGAGAAGAGUUAUGCAGUCCUUGUUCCGUCCUACCACCAGGCAGAGCUCUCCAGGACAAAGGCUCAAAAUCUCUGCAAAUACUCUACUAUUAAACCCAUCUCAUUCUCCUGAAUUUGGAGGAAAUAUUUCUGUUUUCUGCCAUGGAAAAGACAAUCUUUCAUCAGGAAGAACUGUUUGCUGUCUGUUUCCUUCUCCAGGAGUGGAGAGGACAUGCAGGAGGAUUUUUGAGGGUAGCAUAUCUGAUUAAUUUAAGCACAUAUUAUUGACUGAAAUAAAAGAUUUCAGAUGAUUGAGGUGGAAGUGGUGAAGUGAUUGAAUAGGCUGAGAGCUGUCAGAUCCGCCAAUUAGGAUCAGUGUCAGCCAUAACCUUGAAUCUCUUUGCUCUACUUGGUGCAACAGCAUCAUUGGUGCUUCAAGAUAAUUUCUUGGGGCUUAUUUAAUGUGAAGCUUAAUGAAAAUACUCUACUUCAGAGAGAGACUGCUUUUCAGUCCUGGGUAAAUACAUGCAAACACUUUUUUAAAGGACUUGUUAUUCCCCCACUAGCUGUCAGAGCUCCACCACAAACCUCUCUCUCUAAGUGAUAAACACUCAUUUAUAAACUUCAUUGCCAGUCUGUAUAAUUUACCCGAGAAGCCAGAAUAGGUUCUGCAGCUCUGGUGCAACUCCAGACAACCACGUACAUCAUUUUCAAGAGAGCAGCUACAUAUCAGAAAAUCUUUUGAAUGUUGGUAAAUGUGUCAAUGUACCACAUAUGUUUCUCAGUGUAGUAACUCAGCUGUUUCAUUUCUCUCUUUUGCUCAAUAUUCAGCCCCUUGAGAGUUCCGACCCUGGCUCCAGUUUGGCAGUUUCACAUACAUAAAAGUCUUGUUCGUGCAAGUUUUGUGAGCCACCAGACAAAAAUAAGAUUUUUUUUUGCUGACUUUUUUUUUUUUUUUGCACUGCAAAUCUAAAUCAGAAAACCACAAUUGUGUAUGAGAAACAUAAUCAGGCCCAGCAGUACACAGGAGGUAAAUUUAGGACCUCUCUUUUCCUAACAUAUCUUCCCCUUUAAGAUCUAAGGUCAAUUAGAACUAAUCAGUUUAAUAAUUUCAUCACGUCUAAUAGUUUUAUUUUAUGGAAAUGCUGAAGCCAAAGACUUCAGGAUUAUUUACAAUAGCAGUACCUUUUUAGACCUGAUAAAUAUUUCUACACUGUUCCAUCUUAAGAAUUAAAUGUUUCAGUUUAAACAUGUUUUACAAGUGCUACUCAGACUAACCCUAAUUUCUUGUUGACUAUAUUUUGUAUAUUGGAUAUUGAUAGAAUAAUCCAAAUUUACUAAUUGACACAUUUAAAAUAAGUACUGCUGCAGAUCAUUUUUUCAGGCCUGUGAACUGAUUCCCAAAAUUUUGCUUUGUAAAACAUUAGAAGUCACAGGCAGUUGCCUCUCCUUAAUUAUUUUAAUAACUUUAAUUCUUUUAAUAACUUUAAUAAACUGAAUGACAAUCUGAUUCUUUAUGCAUUGCUUGCUGAGCUAUCUCAUUUGAGGAUUGUUCCUGGGCAGAAUUUUUCUUUAUUUGGCUUAUCCAUAGAAAAUAAUUUUGGUGGGUUACAAAACAAAAA